GAUAACCUUGCCAAGAUCAGCUGUGUGCAGGUACAGACGUUCUGUAAAUCGGGCUCGUACGGAGGCACCGGGAAGACCCUAUUCCAAAUCCUAGCCGGAGUAAUCCUGGAUUGAUUACGGAAGAAUUUCAUCGAUCGGAUGCUCCCAGAUUCACAGUGCAUAUUCAGACCACUUUGCGGCUCAGAGGGUGUGAUCUUUCCAGCAUGCCUCAUACAGGAAAAGUGUGGAGAACAGAACUGAGAUAUCUAGGUGGCUUUGCUAAACCUCACAAAAGCACUGUGUUCUAUUAGUAGAUCUGGAUUCCGGAAAUUACUUGGCAAAUUUGGCUGUACUGAAAAAUUCAUAUAGAGUUCUUUACCCUAUACUACAAAA
Long non-coding RNA from Ornithorhynchus anatinus (platypus), 372 nucleotides. RefSeq lists it as uncharacterized. The transcript has 2 exons. NCBI's taxonomy places the organism in Eukaryota, Metazoa, Chordata, Mammalia, Monotremata, Ornithorhynchidae. The record is from RefSeq and is a predicted model, not a curated record.